GGGUCAGUAGGUUGGUCGUGCCACCGGUACGUACUGGUCUCACUGAUUCCUCCUUCCUGAAGAACCGUAAUGCCAUUAAUUUGGUGUUGCAGGGAAACAGGACUGUUACUUUGAAAAAAUUAGAGUGUUUAAAGCAAGCUAACGCUUGAAUACAUUAGCAUGGAGUAAUGAAAUAGGACGAUCGAUCCUAUUUUGUUGGUUUCUAGGAUUGACGUA
This 216-nucleotide ribosomal RNA is filed under the name Glomeromycotina sp. Its description in RNAcentral is "partial small subunit ribosomal RNA". The stretch from base 40 to 216 matches the Rfam family "Eukaryotic small subunit ribosomal RNA", at positions 686 to 864 of the family's 1831-position model. Lineage: Eukaryota; Fungi; Glomeromycota. The record is from RNAcentral.